GAGAGGGAGAAGGACAAGGCAGGAGGGAGGGAGGGAGAGGGUGAGAGAGCUACAGAAGGAGAGAGGGAGAGAUUGUGUGCUGGCAGAUGAACUCUGAGAAGAGAGGGCCUGUAUCAAAGGAAAACGACAUCAUCUAGCCUGGGGUGAGUGAUUUUGGCCUCUGGAGCCUGUAUUCCUGGCCAUCCUGUGAGUUGCUGCCACUGCUAAGAGGCUCGUUACAGUGAAGACUCUC
Molecule: long non-coding RNA, 232 nt
Organism: Neogale vison (American mink)
Lineage: Eukaryota; Metazoa; Chordata; Mammalia; Carnivora; Mustelidae
Exons: 3
Source: RefSeq, a predicted model, not a curated record